GCCUACACCUGCGUUACACAACACCAUCUCAUGGAUGAACAAGGGUGGGUAAAGCAGGUCUACAUCCAGCGCACCCUUAUCUUCUGUAACAAAGCUGCUGAAGAGGAUUAUGCUGCUGUUGCCUCAGAAACUUAGUCACCAGUGGAAAGAGAGCACAGAGAGGGGUGGGGAGUCCACGCAGAGAGUAGAAACAGACAGGCAGGCGAUACUACUGCUACAACCCUUCACACACACACAGCACCAGCUUUUUCUUUCUUUCUUUCUUUUUUUUAGGCUGACACAGAUUUUUUCUAAAACCUGCCACCAUGUGGCACCCUUUGAUUAUCGGCAUCAUGACAGUGAACACCUCUCUAACCGUCUUCUACUGGGCCUUCAUCCUGGGCGAUGCUUACUACAAGUGGCUGAUGGAGCCAGAAGACAAGCCCAAGAAGGUGGUCACCCCAGCUUGAGGGAGCCAGUAUGGAUCUACCUGAAUGAGUGACUGGAUGUUAUUUGCUUAGGAAUACUCUGCUCAGCUAGUAGUGCUUACAGUGAAUUUCUGCUUCUUUUUUUAUGUAUUCUUUUUUUUUUUUUAACUGGAAAAGCCUUGGAUUCCUGUUUUGAACUGAAAAAAUAACCUAAAGCAAUCUGCAAGUUGAUGAGAAGAAUCAUUCUUACAGGUAAAGUGUCAAUUUAUCUUAAUAUUUAUUUCGCAUCAUUUUAUUGUGUUUUAGCUACAUUUGUUGCUUGCAGUGUGAAUCAACACACACAUACACACUUCACACACCAUCCGCAGGCAACAGGUCCUUCAGGUGACACUAAAUGAACCGUUUAAGCUUUCUGCUGACUCGGUGAAAAGGUUUUGUUGGUGACAGUGGCAUGAGUCAAGCAAAUCCUGUUAGGAUUACUAAACUACUAAACACCACCUCUAAACUGGCACAGUUGGUGUUACUUUCGUAACAGCUUCAUCCUGAGACACAUUCAGAAACCCUCGUCUCAUCUCUCGUUUGCAUCUCUCCUGAAAGCUUAUUUUUCACUCUUCCUCCUUUUCCUUUUUCUCUCUAUUUUAUUUUAUUUUUUACAUCUCUCCACAACAUGUCGCACGUCUUCUACUGGGUUUUACAAACUUAACUGGAAAAAGGAAGAACAACAAGCCAAUGCCUAAAAUCCUGGUGGAAACCACAUCCACAUCCUGAUGCUGCACUGAGAAUAUUUAGCUGCUUCUGUACAGUUCACCCCAGAAUUCAAAAACAAAAAACCAGAGGAAUCGUCUCAACUCUUUGCUGCAGACUGGAUAUUUGGCCCCAAACCAGUGGAGGAUGAUUCAGAGGGAGGGGAUGCAGAAAUAGAGGAAGAGAGGCGACUCAGCGUUUCCAGCAAGCUGUUGGAGAAAGAUGAGAUCAGAAUGGAGGAAGAAAAAGAAGGCCAGCUGCCUGGUUUCCACCAGGGAGACGCAGGCCGCUGUCGUCCAUCCACCCCUCCGCUGAGAAGCGCCAUUGCUUCGUCAUACCCUGGAGAAAAAAGGAUUUCCACACAUAGCGUGACCUUCGCCUGCCCCGUGGCCCCUUACGUCACUUCCCUUUGAGUUUUUUCAUCACAGCAGUUUUUAUUACGUCUUAAUCACAGUGCAGUGAUCAGUGAUGUCCUCGCUGUAGUGAUGCAGAGGCUGAGGCACUCUUGUUUUAUGCUGGUGUUAUAGUUAGCGUGCAAAAAAUGUACAAGAAAAUGUUGUUAGUAAGCACGAUCCAUACUGUCAGUCUGUUUCUACUGCACCAUGCUGAAAUUCGCUGUCCAGCUGCUCGUGGUAAAAACUGUAAACAAAUUAAGUUUCAAGUAAAAAUAUCAGUUAUGUUAAUAACUUAACUUUACAUCUAAAAAUGUUCAUUGGAAACACACUGUGUCCAGUUCGUCCACAAGGCUAGACAGAAAGUGUUGUGAAAUUGCAAAAUCAAAAAGACUUGUCAUGUUACAUGUGCUUGUAAUGUGUUUCUAAAGAAAACGUACAUCACUUCUCCUGGUGUUGGACUAAGCUUCUCCCCAAUAAACAACUCGAUAAUACACGCUCGUUCCUCCUGUCUUGUCUGCUUUCAUUAAUCCAUCUUACCUUCUCCUAAUACCUGCUUGUGCCCAGGGUGAUGACCUUGUUUAUAAAUGCAGAGGAUUAUUGCACUUGAGCAUAUUAAAUACAGCUGAGUGAUGUAAGAUAGAUAGAUAGAUAGAUAGAUAGAUAGAUAGAUAGAUAGAUAGAUAGAUAGAUAGAUAGAUAGAUAGAUUUCUACAGAGAGAAAAACAGGAAUCUUGUUCACAUGAGAUACAGCUUUGCAUUUAUUUUAAAUCUUACUUUAGCAGUCAUUAGUCAUAAGGCUGAUCAGCUGUGAAUUAGAGGAUCUUCACAGCUUCCUUGAUUCAUGCAAAGAGUUUCAUUCACGAUUUCCUGAAUUUUGAGUAAUUUUGCUGUUGUUACAAUGCUGACAUUGGAGAAUGUGAUAUUUCCUCCUGAUCUCUUUGUAUUUUGCACAGAACGUUCUGUGCGAUUAAAUCUUUGUGCCGGCUUCUUAAUACAGCGAUGACCCACAGAUAUUAACUGGACUCGCAGGCUGACAGCAGAGGCAGCCAGACUGCAAUGGACAGCUUAAACGUUCGUCACAAAGAGGAAGAUGGCACAGUGUUAUUUGAGUCAUAUAUCCCUCCUUCUCGGGAUGCUAUCCACCUGCCCACCUACGUCCUCUACUUGCUCAUAGCCGUCUUCGUCGUGUUUUCGGUUCUCUACGCCAUCACGGGCCACCUCAUCAAAGACCUCAUCCAUGACUGUGCAGACUGGCUGUUUGGGGAGCAGCCUGCAGAAGUGGUGGUGAACUACUGUGAGGCCAAGGAUAAGUUCAUGGCAGACUGGUCCCCACAAACCAGCCCUGAAGUAGAGGCAAUGGCCCGGGAAGAGGAGAACAAGGUGAUUGACAGAGACUUUAUGAAAUCCCCUGCCAUCUGGAUCAUCUCUACAGAACCACAAGGGGCAAAAACAGGACCCCGGGUGGUCUUUGGGAAUAGGACUUGAACCCAUCAGAGACUUGCUGUCGUUACAGACCUUCUGUAUGUGAUGUGAAUGUAUAAAUAUCUAGAUGGAUGAUGAAGGUAAAGAACCAUUUCUGUGUGAGGCUCAAAAUAGAUUAUUAGAUUUAAUUUCAAUAUUUUGCAAAAUAAGAUUAAAAAGUAAGAUUAAAGAUUUUAGUAUAAGCCUUCGUGUGGAUUUUUUUUAAAUAUAAAUGUUUUGUGGAACAUGUGCAUGUAGCACUGAUCUAUCAUGUGGAGUAGUAAACAAGUAUCUUGUGAAAAUAGUUCUGAAAAGUUAAGCCAUGAAAGUAAUGGUACAAUUACACUCUUCUCAAUAAUAAUGAUGAUUUGUCUGUUAACAAUAAUUAUCAUUAUUAUUAUUUUUAGGUAGCCUCAGUUGGUCUGCUGCUGAAUUUAUUUAUUAAUUAUUUAUGUUUGUGUUUAUAUUCAGCUUUUUCACGUUUGGAUAAGGUGUAACUUCGUAACUACUGUAUAGAAAUGUACACCGCACAAAAAGGACAAGGCAGCUAAUUUGGCAGCAGACAUUUCUAAACAGAAUAUAAUGCUGCACAGUAAACAGGACCACCCCACUUGCAUUUGAGAUGCAAUGGUAAGCGAGAAAAGCACCUCCUGUGGUGAGAUGCAUGGCACUGCACGCUGAGACAGUGACGUGGUCUAAUGUUAUUCCAAACUCGCAGUUUCUCAUUAAGUUUCUUCAUUUAAAUGUGAAUGUAACUGCCUCUCUUUUUGUGUAUAAUGGCUGAAGGCUUCAGCGGUCCUAUAAGGACAUCUAGUGUCUGCUGUAGUCAUUACAGCUGAAUAUUAUUUCAAACUGGAAAACCUCUGGAAAUAAGGUAACUCAUUUAAAAAAAAGAGAGAGAGAGAAAAUAUGACAAUGAUCUUCAGAAUCUUUGAUUUCAACAAUUAAUAUUUUAUAUCUUAAAAAUGUGGUAGGUAGUUGCACUUUAUUCUACAUUUCUCCUUUACUUUCAUGUAUUUAUUUAUUUGAGAAAGCUCUAAACUCACUCCACACGCUUUAGAGUUUUCAGACCUUUUCACAAACGUAUUCUACAUUUCAUAGACUAUUUAGUUUCUCAUAAGUCUAAAGAUCAGUCGUAGAUUUCGAUGCAAAAUCAAUCAGUAAAUAAAUAAAUAAAAGCUUUUCCAGUUGUCUGUAAA
Molecule: long non-coding RNA, 4206 nt
Organism: Astatotilapia calliptera (eastern happy)
Lineage: Eukaryota; Metazoa; Chordata; Actinopteri; Cichliformes; Cichlidae
Source: Ensembl